This 688-nucleotide ribosomal RNA is filed under the name Khoyollomyces ramosus. RNAcentral describes it as "partial large subunit ribosomal RNA". The record is from RNAcentral. Lineage: Eukaryota; Fungi; Neocallimastigomycota; Neocallimastigomycetes; Neocallimastigales; Neocallimastigaceae.
GGAAAAGAAACUAACAAGGAUUCCCCUAGUAACGGCGAGUGAAGCGGGAAGAGCUCAAAUUUGAAAUCUUAAAGGGUUUCCCUUUACGAAUUGUAGUUUAAAGAAGUGUUUUCUGUUGAGGUUUUGGUAAAAGUUCUUUGGAAUAGGACAUCAUAGAGGGUGAGAAUCCCGUAUUUGACCUUUACUUUCAACUUUGUGAUACACUUUCAAAGAGUCGGAUUGUUUGGGAAUGCAGUCCAAAAUGGGUGGUAAAUUUCAUCUAAAGCUAAAUAUUGGCGAGAGACCGAUAGCGAACAAGUACCGUGAGGGAAAGAUGAAAAGAACUUUGAAAAGAGAGUUAAACAGUACGUGAAAUUGUCAAAAGGGAAGCGUUUGACACCAGUGUUGUUUUUCUGAAAAUCAAUUAAAGAACUGUUUAUGCUAAGYUGUUUAGACUUUAUCAGCUAUCUGUUUAGUUUUGAGCUUUUCUUUAAUGCACUUUUCAGUUAACAAGUCAACAUCAAUUUCUUUUGCUGUAAAAAAGCUUGAGGAAGGUGGCUUGAGAUUCGUCUUAAGUGUUUAUAGCCUCUUGCCUAUGCAGUCGGAGAGAUUGAGGUCUGCAGCGUAGAUCCUUCGGGGCUAAAUGCAUUUGUGCUAAGUUAUAGCAUUUUAUAGACAACUUGUUGACUAUGAUUUGUCUUGUAGCUUA